Long non-coding RNA from Herpailurus yagouaroundi (jaguarundi), 656 nucleotides. RefSeq lists it as uncharacterized. NCBI's taxonomy places the organism in Eukaryota, Metazoa, Chordata, Mammalia, Carnivora, Felidae. The record is from RefSeq and is a predicted model, not a curated record. The transcript is spliced from 2 exons.
CCGACUGAGCCACCCAGGCACCCCCAACAAUAUCCUUUAUAGGAACUAAUCUAGGAUCAUGUACUGCACUUAGUGGUUGUAUCUCUUUAGUCUUUUUUCCACCCUGUAAAAGUGUAGCAUGGGUGAACUUUCUUAAUUUACCCUCACUCUCGCCCUCUACACCAGGGGUAUCAGAAAAGGCCAAGACUGACCACAGCCCAAACUCAUCCUGCCAGACAUAGAAAAUGAAUAAUUGCUUGAAUGUGUAGAGAGAAGCUUGGAAAUGAUGCCAUGCCUUUUAUCUUCUCUUAUUUUUACUAUAAAAGUUUUGAAAUAGAAUAUGAAUGUGGAAAUAUGUUAAAUCAUUCACUCUUUGCUGAAUUCUUCCUAGAUAGAAUAUUCACGGGAAAAUGUCUUCUUUCCAAAUGGUUCUAAGACAACGUCUCUUAGGUUGUAUAUUCUCAGGUCUGAUCUCCAAGUAAAUCUCAGAUCUCUCCUUUUGAUGGUGUAAGAAUCUUCAUAUAUCACCAAAACAGAAGAAUAUUGACUGACACAAAGCUAGGAAGCUGGAUGCAGCUCUUUAAAGAAAAUCUCAGCCUUUUGUACGUUUGUUGAAUUGUUCUACACUGAUUUGUGUCUGUGACAAUUACUUAGAUUAUGGAAAUUUGUGGGCUUAA